UUCAUGAGCUUUUAAUGAAAGUUUAUAUUUAUUAUACAAGUAUUUGAUUCUAUAGGUCAGAAUGACUUAUAAUACUCUGUCUUUUGUUCCUGUAGAAACUCUACGUCUGCCGUCGCUGGCAGUUAUCGACCUGCUGCUCAACAAACACCGUGAGCAGAAGGACAUGCUGAAGCUUGUGGACCAGGACUACGCUGCUCUAGUUCACAACUCCUGCACAGACCCCAACAGCAUGCUCCACCCGACAACAAAACUACAUGUUCUACAAUAUGUAAAGCACCUCAGCAAAUUGUUGAACACCAGUUCCUCUUUAAACGUCAGUCCAGAAAAACUGCAAGAGAGGCAGAAACUCUGUCACUCUCUGACAGAGGCGAGUGAGACUACUAGUGUGCAGGUUGUUACGAUGUCUGUUGCAUUUGUUCACCCACCUCCACCUGUUCAGAUGCUGACACAAGCUUCUAUUGAGAAGAUUGUACCCAACAUCAUGGAAAAGCAGCAGCAACAUAAACAGGAACAACAACAACAACCGGGGCAAAAGAAGGGCUGCACGAAAGACAAAGUUCUUUCAGCUAGAACUGGAUGCCACACAGAAAAGUUCCAUCUAGCAUUUUAAGUCCAAUUAUUUGUAAUAUUCAUGUUGUAAUUAGUUUAUAUAUUGGUUUCUUGCAUUUGUGACUUUGUACAUUGAAAUAUUAUCAUUUUAUUCUUUAUAUUUGGUUUUAAUAUUCAUUAGUUUAAUUAUUUAGAUGUCUUUAUUUCUGUAACAUUUUUGUUUGUAUAGGACUAUACAAAUCGGUUGAUGUAUCUGUGUUCAACAUUUACUGUCCAAGUUAAUAAAUAUAUUUCAAUUACUAAUGUCUACAUGUGUCAUCAAUAAGUGAAUCACUGUAGUGAACAGUAAAAUAAGUUGGUCUGUAAGUACAAUCUAGUGAUAACCAGUAGACAGCAGAUUGGGGUAAACAUUUCCUUUAUUUGUUAUUUGAGAUGGAUAAGGUAGGAUGGAGUGGGAGGUGAAGGAAGGUGUUCUUCCACGUGUCCAGUCUCAGGCACAAUAUUUACUUAAAUGUACAUGAAAUAAAAAUAAGGCAGAAAUGAGGUAAGGGGAAAUGUGCAAAACUGAGCAGAUUGUAAAAAUGAAAAGAUGAAAUGAAAUGUGUGCAAUAUAAAUUAACAGUACAGUUAAUUAAAGCCGACCAAUUAAAAAAAAAAAAACAUUUAAAUAAAUGUACAUGAAAUAAAAAUAAGGCAGAAAUGAGGUAAGGGGAAAUGUGCAAAACUGAGCAGAUUGUAAAAAUGAAAAGAUGAAAUGAAAUGUGUGCAAUAUAAAUUAACAGUAUAGUUAAUUAAAGCCGACCAAUAAAAAAAAAUUAAAAAAACAUAUUUAAAUAAAUGUACAUGAAAUAAAAAUAAGGCAGAAAUGACUUAAGGGAAAUGUGCAAAACUGAGAAGGUUGUAAAAAAAUUAAAUGAAAUCUGUAAUAUAAAUCAACAGUACAGUACAAGUGAAAUCCUGACAAGCGAGUUAGGUUUUAAAGCAGCCAGAGUAUCCCUGUUUUUUUUGUUUUGUUUUUUAGAUCUUUUUUUUUUCAGAAUUUUUUUUUCAGGGUAGAUGGAUGAGGUAGGAUGGAGUGGGAGGUGAAGGAAGGUGUUCUUACAGGUGUCUAGUCUCAGGCACGUUGAUGUUGACGUCCUGGAUAGUCUCCUUUUUCUUCUCUUCUCUCUCCUAUGUCUUUGUCUCCUUGUCCUGGAGCUUGUGCCUCAUUUCGUCCAUCUCCGUCUGCCGGUCUUUUUUUUUUUUUUUUCAGAAUUUCUUUUUUUUCAGGGUAGAUGGAUGAGGUAGGAUGGAGUGGGAGGUGAAGGAAGGUGUUCUUACAGGUGUCUAGUCUCAGGCACGUUGAUGUUGACGUCCUGGAUGGUCUCCUAUUUCUUCUCUUCUCUCUCCUAUUUCUUUGUCUCCUUGUCCGCAAUCUUGUGCCUCAUCUUGUCCAUCUCCGUCUGCCGUUUUUUUCUUUUUCAGAAUAUUUUUUUUUCAGGGUAGAUGGAUGAGGUAGGAUGGAGUGGGAGGUGAAGGAAGGUGUUCUUACAGGUGUCUAGUCUCAGGCACGAUGAUGUUGACGUCCUGGAUUAUCUCCUUUUCUUCUCUCUCCUAUUUCUUUGUCUCCUUGUCCUGCAUCUUGCGCCUCAUUUCGUCCAUCUCCGUCUGCCGGUCUUUUUUUUUUUUUUUUUAAGAAUAGGCAGAUGUUUUCAAGGACUGUUUUGUUGUCCUCUAAUUCUGGGAUCCUGGUGAUAAGGAUCUAAUGUUCUUUGGGGAUGGUAUCCUCUGUUUUUUGGAUCUUAGAGAUCAGGCGCAAUACAGUGAA
Long non-coding RNA from Gasterosteus aculeatus aculeatus (three-spined stickleback), 2356 nucleotides. The record is from Ensembl. Lineage: Eukaryota; Metazoa; Chordata; Actinopteri; Perciformes; Gasterosteidae.